AGAACGAACGCUGGCGGCAUGCCUAACACAUGCAAGUCGAACGAGACCUUCGGGUCUAGUGGCGCACGGGUGCGUAACGCGUGGGAAUCUGCCCUUGGGUUCGGGAUAACAGUUGGAAACGACUGCUAAUACCGGAUGAUGACUUCGGUCCAAAGAUUUAUUGCCCAGGGAUGAGCCCGCGUAGGAUUAGCUAGUUGGUGAGGUAAAGGCUCACCAAGGCGACGAUCCUUAGCUGGUCUGAGAGGAUGAUCAGCCACACUGGGACUGAGACACGGCCCAGACUCCUACGGGAGGCAGCAGUGGGGAAUAUGGACGAAUGGGACGAAAGCCUGAUCCAGCAAUGCCGCGUGAGUGAUGAAGGCCUUAGGGUUAGUAAAGCUUACGUUUAACCCGGGAAGUAUAAUGACUGGUACCGGAGAAUAACGCCCCGACUAACUCCGUGCCAGCAGCCGC
RNAcentral lists this ribosomal RNA (453 nucleotides) under uncultured soil bacterium. RNAcentral's name for it is "bacterial SSU rRNA". It matches the Rfam family "Bacterial small subunit ribosomal RNA", at positions 26 to 518 of the family's 1533-position model. The record is from RNAcentral.